Molecule: ribosomal RNA, 253 nt
Filed under: uncultured bacterium
Lineage: Bacteria
Description: partial 16S ribosomal RNA
Rfam family: Bacterial small subunit ribosomal RNA
Source: RNAcentral
UACAGAGGUCUCAAGCGUUGUUCGGAUUCAUUGGGCGUAAAGGGUGCGUAGGCGGUCGGGUAAGUCUGACGUGAAAUCCCGCAGCUCAACUGCGGAACUGCGUCGGAUACUAUUCGGCUUGAGGAAUGGAGGGGAGACUGGAAUUCUCGGUGUAGCAGUGAAAUGCGUAGAUAUCGAGAGGAACACCAGUGGCGAAGGCGAGUCUCUGGACAUUUCCUGACGCUGAGGCACGAAAGCCAGGGGAGCAAACGGG